This 194-nucleotide ribosomal RNA is filed under the name uncultured bacterium. RNAcentral's name for it is "partial 16S ribosomal RNA". It matches the Rfam family "Bacterial small subunit ribosomal RNA", at positions 338 to 524 of the family's 1533-position model. The record is from RNAcentral.
CCUACGGGAGGCAGCAGUGGGGAAUAUUGGACAAUGGGCGCAAGCCUGAUCCAGCCAUGCCGCGUGUGUGAAGAAGGCCUUCGGGUUGUAAAGCACUUUAAGUUGGGAGGAAGGCUCCAAAGCUAAAACCUUUGGGGAUUGACGUUACCAACAGAAUAAGCACCGGCUAAUUCCGUGCCAGCAGCCGCGGUAAU